RNAcentral lists this ribosomal RNA (427 nucleotides) under uncultured bacterium. RNAcentral describes it as "bacterial SSU rRNA". It matches the Rfam family "Bacterial small subunit ribosomal RNA", at positions 355 to 775 of the family's 1533-position model. The record is from RNAcentral.
UGGGGAAUCUUGCGCAAUGGGCGAAAGCCUGACGCAGCGACGCCGCGUGAGUGAUGAAGGCCUUCGGGUUGUAAAGCUCUGUGGGGAGAGAAGAAUAAGUGCGGGCUAAUACUCCGCAUGAUGACGGUAUCUCCUUAGCAAGCACCGGCUAACUCUGUGCCAGCAGCCGCGGUAAGACAGAGGGUGCAAACGUUGUUCGGAAUUACUGGGCGUAAAGCGAGUGUAGGCGGUUUGAUAAGUCGGAUGUGAAAGCCCCGGGCUCAACCCGGGAAGUGCACUCGAUACUGUCAAGCUAGAGUAUCGGAGAGGUUGGUGGAAUUCUCGGUGUAGAGGUGAAAUUCGUAGAUAUCGAGAGGAACACCGGUGGCGAAGGCGGCCAACUGGACGAAUACUGACGCUGAGACUCGAAAGCGUGGGGAGCAAACAG